This 351-nucleotide ribosomal RNA is filed under the name Triticum aestivum (bread wheat). Its description in RNAcentral is "partial small subunit ribosomal RNA". The record is from RNAcentral. Lineage: Eukaryota; Viridiplantae; Streptophyta; Magnoliopsida; Poales; Poaceae.
AUGAGGUGUCUCCUCCUUCAAUCCCCUUGCUCAAUAUCUCUCAUCUCCCUUCUUGUGCUCUCUCUUCAGGAAUCCACACCCAACCCUCAUGAAAUCGAGUUCGUUUUUGUUGCCUUAUCUGUUCCCCGUGACAUUUUCCACCAUAUAUCCAUGAGAGGGGGUGAGUUGUUUGCAUUUUUUGCUUUUCUCUCUCAUAUCCUUGGCAGUACACCAUGGAUCGACGAGGUUGAGCACAAGCACAUGCUGCACACGCACACGCUUCCCUCCUUGGAGCCGCGCGCUGAAGGCGCCAGCGAGGAGCUCUCCAUUAGGAGCGCAAGUCGCCGGCAUUUCCUAAAGGUAAAUGUUUGA